This 445-nucleotide ribosomal RNA is filed under the name Haemophilus influenzae PittAA. RNAcentral describes it as "bacterial SSU rRNA". It matches the Rfam family "Bacterial small subunit ribosomal RNA", at positions 1 to 438 of the family's 1533-position model. The record is from RNAcentral. Lineage: Bacteria; Pseudomonadati; Pseudomonadota; Gammaproteobacteria; Pasteurellales; Pasteurellaceae.
ACUUGAAUUGAAGAGUUUGAUCAUGGCUCAGAUUGAACGCUGGCGGCAGGCUUAACACAUGCAAGUCGAACGGUAGCAGGAGAAAGCUUGCUUUCUUGCUGACGAGUGGCGGACGGGUGAGUAAUGCUUGGGAAUCUGGCUUAUGGAGGGGGAUAACGACGGGAAACUGUCGCUAAUACCGCGUAUUAUCGGAAGAUGAAAGUGCGGGACUGAGAGGCCGCAUGCCAUAGGAUGAGCCCAAGUGGGAUUAGGUAGUUGGUGGGGUAAAGGCCUACCAAGCCUGCGAUCUCUAGCUGGUCUGAGAGGAUGACCAGCCACACUGGAACUGAGACACGGUCCAGACUCCUACGGGAGGCAGCAGUGGGGAAUAUUGCGCAAUGGGGGGAACCCUGACGCAGCCAUGCCGCGUGAAUGAAGAAGGCCUUAGGGUUGUAAAGUUCUUUCG